AUAGCAAUAGCCUUCAAUUCCUACUUUAUUGACUCUGUCAGGGUACUGACACAGAACCCCUCCACUGGUUUCUUGGGCAAAGUGCUAGUGAAUGACGCUCAACCUGUCUUCAUCAUAAGGGAGGUUUCUGAGUCAAAGGUGGACAAGGUGAUUAGCUCACAAAAGAACUCUAAAGCCAAAGAUGUGUUUGGGAUGGACUCUACCUUUCUUAAAAACUACAAAGAGUCACUCAUUGGCCCCAUUACUAAGGUCACCAACACAUCUAUUGGUCUCGGGGUGUUUCCAAGGGUAUGGAAGUCGGCCAUAAUAACGACCAUGUUUAAAUCAGGCGACCCUGCUGACGUGAGUAACUACAGGCCCAUUAGUAUACUACCUGUGGUGUCAAAGGUUGUUGAAAAGUGUGUAGCAGACAAACUGAUUGCCCACCUCAACAACAGCCGCUUCACAUUACAUUCCAUGCAGUUUGGCUUCAGAGCGAAACACUCCACAGAAACGGCCAACUGCUUUCUUCUGGAAAAUGUGAAGUCCAAGAUCUACAAAGGGGGUGUUGUUGGGGCUGUGUUUCUGGACCUAAGGAAGGCUUUUGAUACAGUUAACCAUGAGAUUCUCAUCACAAAAUUGUCCAAGUUCAACUUUUCACCCGAUGCCUUGAGAUGGAUGAAAUCAUACCUUGAAGGCAGAACUCAGUGUGUCAGAGUGAGCAAUGAGCUGCCGCCCACUCUUAGCUAUGAUGUGGGCAUGCCCCAAGGGUCAAUACUGGGGUCCCUCCUGUUCAGCCUGUACAUUAAUGAUCUGCCUUCUGUCUGUACUGGGUCUGAAGUUCAAAUGUAUGCAGAUUAUACAGUGAUAUAUGUGCAUGCAAAGAGCAAACAACAAGCUGCACAAGAACUCACUACUGUAAUGGUCCAGGUUACAAAGUGGCUCAGUGACUCCUGUUUGCAUCUCAAUGUGAAAAAAACUGUUUGAAUGUUCUUCACAAAGAGGGCAACAGAUGCUACUGAGCCAGAUGUGUAUGUGUCAGGGGAGAAGCUCCAGGUGGUAUCUGAUUUUAAGUACCUUGGCAUCAUACUUGAUUCCAACCUCUCUUUUAAAAAGCAUGUGAAAAAGGUAAUUCAAAUAACCAAUUUCAACCUAGCUAAUUUCUGAUUUAUACGAAUUUGUUUGACUACAGAGGUAGCAAAACUGUACUUCAAAUCUAUGAUACUCCCCCACUUAACAUACUGCUUGACUAGUUGGGCCCAAGCUUGCUGUACAACAGUAAGACCUAUUCAGUCUGUCUACAAACAGGCUCUCAAAGUGCUUGAUAGGAAGCCCAAUAGCCAUCAUCACUGUCACAUCCUCAGAAAGCAUGAGCUCCUGAGUUGGGAAAAUCUUGUGCAAUACACCGAUGCAUGUCUUGUAUUCAAGAUCCUAAAUGGCUUGGCUCCCCCUCCACUCAGUAUUUUUGUUAAACAGAAAACCCAAACAUAUGGCAGCAGAUCCACAAGGUCUGCCAUGAGAGGUGACUGUGUAGUUCCCCUAAGGAAAAGCACCUUUAGUAAAUCCGCUUUUUCUGUGAGAGCUUCCCAUGUCUGGAAUACACUGCCAUCAGACACGCAUAACUGCACCACAUAUCACACUUUCACAAAAUGCUUGAAGACAUGGCUAAAGGUCAAUCAGAUUUGUGAACAUGGUCCCUAGCUGUGUGUUGCCGCUUUCCAUGUCUGUUGUCUGUAACUUGUGAGGUGUGGAAACACUUUGUUGCUUUUAUGAAUUUUGUCUUGCUGCUUUUUGUUCUAUGUUGCUCUGUCUGUAUGCUACGCCUUGCUUGUCCUAUGUAGCUAUGUCUGUAUGCUACGUCUUGUUCUAUGUUGCUAUUGUCUAUAUUGUAAUUGUUUUUAAUAACCUGCCCAGGGACUGCGGUUGAAAAUUAGCCGGCUGGCUAAAACCGGCACUUUUACUGAAACGUUGAUUAAUGUGCACUGUCCCUGUAAAAAUAAACUCAAACUCAUAACUCAUAGUCUGGUCUAGCAUACAGCUUGCGCUAACAGGGUCUGGGCUGGGUUUCUGUAAAGCACUUUAUGACAACAGUGACAUCAGCAUCCAUAAUGAUAUGUGUCUGUGUCCCCUCUUUAUGGUUACCAGGACAAUGCUAGCCCGUCCUCCCUCCCGGAGCCCCUGUGUCGUGCCUCUCCCGGUAGCACCUUACUGCUGGGUAUGAAGAGGUUGUCUGUGCUGCUGGUGGACUGCAGGAAAACAACGGGGCUGAGUGGAACUGUGAGAGGAGGAGAAGAGAAGAAAGGAUCAGAUUUGACACAUCAAAGAGAAAAACAAAAUUCGGAGGAACCAGAGACAUCCAAACCAGCAAGCCGGCACCUUGGACAGCGUUUUAACAAGUUAGGAAGCCUGAAAAGACAUGGGAGGACACACACUGGAGAUAAGACACACCAUUGCGCCCAGUGUGGACAUAGUUUUAACCAGUUAAGAAGCCUGAAAGCUCAUGAGUGAAUACACACAGGGGAGAAGCCUUACAAAUGCUCAGACUGUGGGAAGACAUAUUACUCUUCAUGGUCACUUAAAGUUCAUGUAAGAACCCACACAGGGGAGAAGCCUUACCACUGCUCCCUCUGUGCAAAGAGUUUUAUCCAUUCAGGACAUCUGAAAAAACACAUGAUACUGCACACAGGGGUGAAGCCUUACCAAUGCUCAGACUGUGGGAAGACAUAUUGCUCAUCAGAGUCACUUAAAAUUCAUGUGAGAACCCACACAGGGGAGAAGCCUUACCACUGCUCCCAGUGUGCAACGAGUUUUAUCCAGUUAGGACACCUGAAAGCCCAUGAGCGAAUACACACAGGGGAGAAGCCUUACAAAUGCUCAGACUGUGGGAAGACAAAUUACUUUUCAUCGUUACUUAAAGUUCAUGUAAGAACCCACACAGGGGAGAAGCCUUACCACUGCUCCCAGUGUGCAAAGAGUUUUAUCCAGUUAGGAAACCUGAAGGUUCAUGAGCGAAUACACUCAGGGGAGAAGCUUUACCACUCAGGGGAGAAGCUUUUUCACAGUCACUUAAACGUCAUGUGAGAAUCCACACAGGGGAGAAGCCUUACCACUGCUCCCAGUGUGCAAAGAGUUUUGUCCAGUUAGGACACCCGAAAGCCCAUGAGCGAAUACACACAGGGGAGAAGCCUGCUUCCACUGUGCAAAGAAUUUUACCAAAUUAUGAAGCCUGAAAAAACACAUGAGACUGCGCACAGGGGUGAAGCCUAACCAAUGCUCAGACUGUGGGAAGACAUAUUACUCAUCACGGUCACUUAAUCAUCAUGUGAGAAUCCACACAGCAGAGAAUAAAUACUUCUAGUGUGUAUAUUGAUAUUUCACUUCGCAUUGACUUAAAAUUAAUCAGAGAACAUACACAGUGUUCCCAUUGACUUAUAAUGUUGACUGAUAAUGUGUUUACUUGUUUAUACCGUAUGAAAUGUAAUUAUACAAAGAAUACUUACACAUAUAUUAUACGUUUUUAUUAGAAAACAUGAAUUGAAUAUGGAGUAUGUCAGUUUGAAUAUAAAGUAGAUCAGAUUCCAUGUGUUUAAAUGGUCCUUUUUAAACUCUGUGUGUGUUUAUCUGGGUGUGUCAUUCCUCCAGCACUACAGAUAAUACAGUGAUAUUUGGAUGUGAUGCAGUUGCUCCAUUGUUUACAUUUGCAUUGUUGGCCCACUGAUGAUUUAAUGAAAUUAAAAUGUUCACAGACUCUGUGAUGGAAAAUGUUAAUCGUAUGUGACUAUCCUUGUGAAACUGUCCUAUUAUAAUCUCCUGUUCUUGGGAGUAUCAUCCUGUGUUGCAAACCAGCUGCACCUGCGUCCUUGUAUGAAUAGAGUCCCUCCCAGGAACAGGAAACUAUAAAGAUAUGUGCUCAUCACCCAAUGCUUCAGGAAUUCAGACUGUCUACACUGCGCUGUGUAACUCUGUUAUUCUCUCUGAUCUCAGAAAUAAAGAAUCUUGGUUUGA
Salvelinus fontinalis (brook trout) is the source of this 3984-nucleotide long non-coding RNA. RefSeq lists it as uncharacterized. The transcript has 2 exons. The record is from RefSeq and is a predicted model, not a curated record. Lineage: Eukaryota; Metazoa; Chordata; Actinopteri; Salmoniformes; Salmonidae.